CCCGUUGUCAUUGGGGAGUAGCCAUUCCGGGCGCAAUGCUCGGAAGUCCACGUCAACAAACUUGAGACCUUGCCGUCUCAUGGUGUGGACAGCCUCUGCUGCAAGCAGAGCCGCUAGGCGAGACCUUUGGCCGCGACGUGCACACCCAGGCC
This is a non-coding RNA of Ralstonia pickettii 12J, 152 nucleotides long. Lineage: Bacteria; Pseudomonadati; Pseudomonadota; Betaproteobacteria; Burkholderiales; Burkholderiaceae. The record is from Rfam.